GGCAGCGCUGAGGCGAGGCGGCCCCGCGGCGCUCAGGUGAGCCGCGGCGGCAGCGGCCGGGAAGGGGCUGGGCUGGGCUGGGCAGGGCUGCGCUGCCAGGCGGGACCUCGGCCACCGGCCGGCCCGGCCCAUCGCAGGCGGCCCGAGGGACAGGGCGGCGGGAGGGGUUGGAGGCAAGCUCCCGCUUGGCGUGGUGCCUGACAAGCACGACGCGAGGCUCAGGGGGUGGCGGGGAUGUCGGCUGGGACCCGUCCCGUUUGCCACCCAGGUGCCUUCCAUUGACUGCCUCCUUUGACGGGGGAAAAGGAAAACCAGAACAAUUGUGGUGAGCAAAAAGAACCAAAGAACCACAACAAGUGAAGAGACAACAAGAGGAACAGAGCUGGGAGAAAAUCACCGUUCUUCUGUAAGUAGAUGGCCACGUUGCCUGCUAAAACAUUGCCUAAAAGUCCAGAGACACUCAGGUGAAAUUGCCAUUGCCUCCUUUGCACACCCAGCUGCUAGCACGUCCUGUUGUUUUAAGCAUCUGUGGUGGGCUUGGCAUUUUUGGUUUGUGGUUUUGCUGUUACCUUUCUGUUAUGGCUAAUUAGUGCUACUAUUAAUAUCUGCCGAAGUCUUCCAGGUGUGGUGGUGGAAACCAACUGAUGAUGGGCAAGCGAUCUGGGCUGCUGG
RNAcentral lists this long non-coding RNA (672 nucleotides) under Anser brachyrhynchus (Pink-footed goose). RNAcentral's name for it is "lncRNA (ENSABRG00000018004.1)". The record is from RNAcentral. Lineage: Eukaryota; Metazoa; Chordata; Aves; Anseriformes; Anatidae.